RNAcentral lists this ribosomal RNA (1234 nucleotides) under metagenome. RNAcentral describes it as "bacterial LSU rRNA". It matches the Rfam family "Bacterial large subunit ribosomal RNA", at positions 1564 to 2810 of the family's 2925-position model. The record is from RNAcentral.
UGAAUACGAGACGCUAAGGCGUCGAAGUAGUGUAUGUCAUACUUCCAAGAAAAGCUUGCACUGUCAUAGAUAAAAAACGCCUGUACCAUAACCGACACAGGUGGGUAGGUAGAGUAUACUAAGGGGCGCGAGAUAACUCUCUCUAAGGAACUCGGCAAAAUAACUCCGUAACUUCGGGAGAAGGAGUGCCUUAUUCGUAAGGUUGCAAUAACAAGAUCCAAGCAACUGUUUAUCAAAAACACAGGUCUCCGCUAAGUCGUAAGACGAUGUAUGGGGGCUGACGCCCCAGUGCCAGAAGGUUAAAGAAGUUGGUUAGCAAUUGCGAAGCUGAUAACUGAAGCCCUGGUGAACGGCGGCCGUAACAAUAACGGUCCUAAGGUAGCGAAAUUCCUUGUCGGGUAAGCUCCGACCCGCACGAAAGGCGUAAUGAUUUGGAUACUGUCUCGGAGAGGGGCUCGGUGAAAUAGACUUGUCUGUGAAGAUGCGGACUACCUGCACCAGGACAGAAAGACCCUAUGAAGCUUUACUGUAACUUGAAAUUGAAAUUGGACUUUAUUCGCGCAGUAUAGGUGGGAGGCGUUGAUUAUAAUCUUGUGGGAUUAUUGGAGCCAUCAGUGAGAUACCACUCUUGUAAUGUUAGAUUUCUAACUUUGAAUCAUUAUCUGGUCAAAGAACAGUUUCAGGCGGGCAGUUUGACUGGGGCGGUCGCCUCCUAAACGGUAACGGAGGCGUACAAAGGUUUCCUCUGAACGGUUAGAAAUCGUAUCUAGAGUGUAAAGGCAUAAGGAAGCUUGACUGUGAGACCUACAAGUCGAGCAGGGACGAAAGUCGGUCUUAGUGAUCUGACGGUACUGAGUGGAAAGGCCGUCACUCAACGGAUAAAAGUUACUCUAAGGAUAACAGGCUGAUCUCCCCCAAGAGUUCACAUCGACGGGGAGGUUUGGCACCUCGAUGUCGGCUCAUCGCAUCCUGGGGCGGUAGUACGUCCCAAGGGUUGGGCUGUUCGCCCAUGAAAGCGGUACGCGAGCUGGGUUCAGAACGUCGUGAGACAGUUCGGUCCAUAUCCGGUGUAGGCGUUAGAAUAUUGAGAGGAGCCUUCUUUAGUACGAGAGGACCGAGAAGGACAUACCUCUGGUGUACCAGUUAUCGUGCCAACGGUAAACGCUGGGUAGCUAUGUAUGGAGUGGAUAACCGCUGAAAGCAUCUAAGUGGGAAGCCCACCUCAAGAUAAGUA